AAAAUGUUUUAUUUUAGCAUAAUAAUUUGUUUAUAAUUUAUUUUACAUGUAAAUUUUAGUGGGAAUUUUAAAUUAUUUAAAUAAUAAUUUAAUUUAAUAUAUUCACAGUGAUUAAUAUUAAUUAUUAAAGAGAUUUAGAAUUAGUAAUAUUAUUUAAUAUUAGCAAAAUUUGUGCCAGCUGCUGCGGUUAGACAAAAAAUAUAAAUGAAUUAGUUUAGAUUGUAAUAAAAUAGUUAUUUAAAAGAAAAAAAAAUGAAUUUAUUAGGUGAAAUUUUAAAUUUAUUAAAUUUUAAAAUUAAGUUAUUGUAAUUAUGAAAUUUUAAAAAUAAACUAGGAUUAGAUACCCUAUUAUUUAAAAUGUAAAUUAAUAAUCUAGAAUAGUAUUAGUUAUGUUCUUGAAAUUUAAAAAAUUUGGCGGUAUUUUAGUCUAUUCAGAGGAACCUGUUUUAUAAUUGAUAAUCCUCGUUGGACCUUACUUAUUCUUGUUUAGUUUGUAUACCGCCGUCGUCAGAAUGUCUUUUAAAAGAAAUAAUUUUCUGAAAUUUUUAAUAUAAAUUAUGUCAGGUCAAGGUGCAGCUUAUGUUUAAGUAAAAAUGGGUUACAAUAAAUUUAUUUUUGGAUAAAAAGUUGAAAUAUUUUUUUGAAAUUGGAUUUGAUAGUAAAAUAAUAAAGAAAAAUUGUUUGAUUUUAGCUCUAAAAUAUGCACAUAUCGCCCGUCGCUCUCGUUAUUAAGAUGAGAUAAGUCGUAACAUAGUAGAUGUACCGGAAGGUGUAUCUAGAAAGAC
Molecule: non-coding RNA, 785 nt
Filed under: Nephrotoma sp.
Lineage: Eukaryota; Metazoa; Arthropoda; Insecta; Diptera; Tipulidae
Source: RNAcentral